RNAcentral lists this ribosomal RNA (254 nucleotides) under uncultured bacterium. RNAcentral describes it as "partial small subunit ribosomal RNA". It matches the Rfam family "Bacterial small subunit ribosomal RNA", at positions 26 to 285 of the family's 1533-position model. The record is from RNAcentral.
AGGACGAACGCUGGCGGCGUGCUUAACACAUGCAAGUCGAGCGGAAAGGCCCUUCGGGGUACUCGAGCGACGAACGGGUGAGUAACACGUGAGCAACCUGCCCUUAGCUCCGGGAUAGCUCCGGGAAACCGGAAUUAAUACCGGAUACGACCACGGCCGACAUCUGCUGUGGUGGAAAGGAUUCCGGCUAAGGAUGGGCUCGCGGCCUAUCAGCUAGUUGGUGGAGUAACGGCCCACCAAGGCGACGACGGGUA